AUGGGAAGUAAAAAUCCACAGGCAAUCCCAAUUUCCAUAUUGAUAGUUCUGUUGAGGGACUCAUACUAGGAGGAUUGUCUGGUGGUAUGUACCUUGCUUAAACUUUGUCCUACUUGGUGCUGGUUUAAGUCUUGUAUAAUUGCAUUCAGCAUUUUCUGUAGGGUAAUUUAUACUUGCUUCGAAUUGGUCAGGCAUUAGUGCAAAUAUCUUACCAGUGCCUUCGAUGUGAUCAAAACAAGAUUGCAAGUGCAGGGUUCAACCUUGAGGUAUCAGUUCUAUAUGUGGUUUUUAAUUUUUAUUAUUUUUACUUUCAUAUAACUUUUAGUUAUUAGUGUAGGAACAAAAAAUUUUGUUGCAAGCAUCAUGUUGUGUUGUUAGAGUACUUAAUGUUAUCCGAGCAAGGCUUGGCAUUCAUAUUGUGUCAGCUGUUGUGUAUGUGAACGCUGACCACCUUGGUCCACAGACACAAACACCAUUUAUCCUUUGUGAUUAUUGAGGGGAUUUUACAAUGCUGUAGUUGUUUUAUCAAUGCACCAUUUUGGUUGAAUCUCAUAGCCAGAUAACAGAAUAUUUUAAAUAUUGGGUACAUAAUUGAUGGGCUAUAGUCAGAAAAUAUGUACUUUGGUAAAGUUUGCGUUGAUUGUUAUUCAAACUGAGCUUUCCUUUCGACCUGAUAUAUAUUUCAAACUCAUGGGAUGAAAGUUAGAUGUGAUAGAAGAACGAUUUUACGGUUUCCAUCUAAUGUUUGUUGUGAAUUUUAGGUACAAUGGCUGUUAUAUGCAAAGUAGCAUAAGGAUGGCUGACGAUGCACAGGAGGUUGCUCAGAGGUAG
This 831-nucleotide long non-coding RNA is filed under the name Prunus dulcis (almond). Lineage: Eukaryota; Viridiplantae; Streptophyta; Magnoliopsida; Rosales; Rosaceae. The record is from RNAcentral.